Molecule: ribosomal RNA, 400 nt
Filed under: uncultured bacterium
Lineage: Bacteria
Description: bacterial SSU rRNA
Rfam family: Bacterial small subunit ribosomal RNA
Source: RNAcentral
AGCGAACGCUGGCGGCGUGCUUAACACAUGCAAGUCGAACGUGAAAUGUAGCAAUACAGAGUAAAGUGGCGUACGGGUGAGUAACACGUGGGUAAUCUACCAAAGAGCCCGGAAUAACCGGCCGAAAGGCUGGCUAAUACUGGAUAGUUCAAGCGAAAUAUAACGUUUUCGAUUGGGAAAGGGAGCGGGUAACCGCCUUCACUUUUUGAUGAGCCCGCGUCUGAUUAGCUAGUUGGUGAGGAAUGGCUCACCAAGGCUGAGAUCAGUAGCUGGUCUGAGAGGAUGAUCAGCCACACUGGAACUGAAACACGGUCCAGACUCCUACGGGAGGCAGCAGUGGGGAAUCUUGCGCAAUGGACGAAAGUCUGACGCAGCCACGCCGCGUGAGUGAAGAAGGCCU